Molecule: ribosomal RNA, 1410 nt
Filed under: Rathayibacter tritici
Lineage: Bacteria; Bacillati; Actinomycetota; Actinomycetes; Micrococcales; Microbacteriaceae
Description: bacterial SSU rRNA
Rfam family: Bacterial small subunit ribosomal RNA
Source: RNAcentral
AGUAACCUGCCCUUGACUCUGGGAUAAGCGCUGGAAACGGCGUCUAAUACCGGAUACGACCUGCCCCGGCAUCGGGUGCGGGUGGAAAGUUUUUCGGUCAAGGAUGGACUCGCGGCCUAUCAGCUUGUUGGUGAGGUAAUGGCUCACCAAGGCGACGACGGGUAGCCGGCCUGAGAGGGUGACCGGCCACACUGGGACUGAGACACGGCCCAGACUCCUACGGGAGGCAGCAGUGGGGAAUAUUGCACAAUGGGCGAAAGCCUGAUGCAGCAACGCCGCGUGGGGGAUGACGGCCUUCGGGUUGUAAACCUCUUUUAGUAGGGAAGAAGGGCUUCGGCUUGACGGUACCUGCAGAAAAAGCACCGGCUAACUACGUGCCAGCAGCCGCGGUAAUACGUAGGGUGCAAGCGUUGUCCGGAAUUAUUGGGCGUAAAGAGCUCGUAGGCGGUUUGUCGCGUCUGCUGUGAAAACCCGAGGCUCAACCUCGGGCCUGCAGUGGGUACGGGCAGACUAGAGUGCGGUAGGGGAGAAUGGAAUUCCUGGUGUAGCGGUGGAAUGCGCAGAUAUCAGGAGGAACACCGAUGGCGAAGGCAGUUCUCUGGGCCGUUACUGACGCUGAGGAGCGAAAGCGUGGGGAGCGAACAGGAUUAGAUACCCUGGUAGUCCACGCCGUAAACGUUGGGAACUAGAUGUGGGGACCUUUCCACGGUCUCCGUGUCGCAGCUAACGCAUUAAGUUCCCCGCCUGGGGAGUACGGCCGCAAGGCUAAAACUCAAAGGAAUUGACGGGGGCCCGCACAAGCGGCGGAGCAUGCGGAUUAAUUCGAUGCAACGCGAAGAACCUUACCAAGGCUUGACAUAUACCGGAAACGUCCAGAAAUGGUCGCCCCGCAAGGUCGGUAUACAGGUGGUGCAUGGUUGUCGUCAGCUCGUGUCGUGAGAUGUUGGGUUAAGUCCCGCAACGAGCGCAACCCUCGUUCUAUGUUGCCAGCACGUUAUGGUGGGAACUCAUAGGAGACUGCCGGGGUCAACUCGGAGGAAGGUGGGGAUGACGUCAAAUCAUCAUGCCCCUUAUGUCUUGGGCUUCACGCAUGCUACAAUGGCCGGUACAAAGGGCUGCGAUACCGUAAGGUGGAGCGAAUCCCAAAAAGCCGGUCUCAGUUCGGAUUGAGGUCUGCAACUCGACCUCAUGAAGUCGGAGUCGCUAGUAAUCGCAGAUCAGCAACGCUGCGGUGAAUACGUUCCCGGGCCUUGUACACACCGCCCGUCAAGUCAUGAAAGUCGGUAACACCCGAAGCCAGUGGCCUAACCGCAAGGAGGGAGCUGUCGAAGGUGGGAUCGGUGAUUAGGACUAAGUCGUAACAAGGUAGCCGUACCGGAAGGUGCGGCUGGAUCACCUCCUUUCUAAGGA